AUUCACAUGACUCAUGCAGUCGUACGGUACAGGAGCAGCUUGCUUCUCUGCUGACGAGUGGCGGACGGGUGAGUCAUGUCUGGGAACUGCCUGAUGGAGGGCGAUAACUACUGGAAACGGUAGCUAAUACCGCAUAACGUCGCAAGACCAGAGAGGGAGACCUUCGAGCCUCUUGCUAUCACAUGUGUCAAGAUGGCAUUAGCUAGUAGGUGGCUACAGCUCACCUAGCGACGAUGCGUAGCUGUCUGAGAGAUGACAGCACACUGCUCUGAGACACGAUCAGCUUAUACGUAGUCAGCAGUGGGAUAUGCACAUGGCGCAGCUGAUGCAGCAUGCAGCGUGUAUGAGACGCGUCGCUGUACGUACUCAGCAGCCAGAUGCAGUCAGUAUACAUCGCUCAUGACGUACGAGCAGAGAGCACGCUACUCGUGCUAGCAGCGCGACAUACGAGUGCAGCUGAUCGAUACUGACGUCAUCCACUAGCGUGUAGUCAGAGUAGUCUAGCUCACUGACUGCAUCGAUCUGCAGCUGACUCCGAGCGUCGAUCAGCUACGUGAUGCUAGACUGAGAUCAGUGCUAGUGCUGACAGCUAGCUAGUCAGUCGUCACGAUGAACUGAGUCAGCGUACAGUCGAUCAGUGCAUAGCUGCUCGACUACGUAGUCACGCUGAUCGUCGCAGCUGACUCAUGAUGACGGAUCGUCAUCUGAGCAUCGG
This 715-nucleotide ribosomal RNA is filed under the name Klebsiella sp. 8. RNAcentral's name for it is "partial 16S ribosomal RNA". The stretch from base 1 to 457 matches the Rfam family "Bacterial small subunit ribosomal RNA", at positions 40 to 535 of the family's 1533-position model. Lineage: Bacteria; Pseudomonadati; Pseudomonadota; Gammaproteobacteria; Enterobacterales; Enterobacteriaceae. The record is from RNAcentral.